GUUAUUGCGAUGGAGGGACGGAGAAGGCUAGGCCAGCUUGGCGUUGGUUGUCCAAGUUUAAGGUGGUAGGCUGGAAUCUUAGGUAAAUCCGGGAUUCUAAGGCCGAGAGCUGAUGACGAGUUACCUUUUAGGUAACGAAGUGGUUGAUGCCAUGCUUCCAAGAAAAGCUUCUAAGCUUCAGGUAACCAGGAACCGUACCCCAAACCGACACAGGUGGUCGGGUAGAGAAUACCAAGGCGCUUGAGAGAACUCGGGUGAAGGAACUAGGCAAAAUGGUGCCGUAACUUCGGGAGAAGGCACGCUGGCGUUAGGUGAAGUGGUUCGCCCAUGGAGCUGAAGCCAGUCGCAGAUACCAGCUGGCUGCAACUGUUUAUUAAAAACACAGCACUGUGCAAACACGAAAGUGGACGUAUACGGUGUGACGCCUGCCCGGUGCUGGAAGGUUAAUUGAUGGGGUAAGCCGUAAGGCGAAGCUCUUGAUCGAAGCCCCAGUAAACGGCGGCCGUAACGAUAACGGUCCUAAGGUAGCGAAAUUCCUUGUCGGGUAAGUUCCGACCUGCACGAAUGGCGUAAUGAUGGCCAGGCUGUCUCCACCCGAGACUCAGUGAAAUUGAACUCGCUGUGAAGAUGCAGUGUACCCGCGGCAAGACGGAAAGACCCCGUGAACCUUUACUAUAGCUUGACACUGAACAUUGAGCCUUGAUGUGUAGGAUAGGUGGGAGGCUUUGAAGUGUGGACGCCAGUUCGCAUGGAGCCGACGUUGAAAUACCACCCUUUAAUGUUUGAUGUUCUAACUUGGGCCCGUAAUCCGGGCUGAGGACAGUGUCUGGUGGGUAGUUUGACUGGGGCGGUCUCCUCCCAAAGUGUAACGGAGGAGCACGAAGGUUGGCUAAUCACGGUCGGACAUCGUGAGGUUAGUGCAAAGGCAUAAGCCAGCUUGACUGCGAGCGUGACGGCGCGAGCAGGUACGAAAGUAGGUCUUAGUGAUCCGGUGGUUCUGAAUGGAAGGGCCAUCGCUCAACGGAUAAAAGGUACUCCGGGGAUAACAGGCUGAUACCGCCCAAGAGUUCAUAUCGACGGCGGUGUUUGGCACCUCGAUGUCGGCUCAUCACAUCCUGGGGCUGAAGUAGGUCCCAAGGGUAUGGCUGUUCGCCAUUUAAAGUGGUACGCGAGCUGGGUUUAGAACGUCGUGAGACAGUUCGGUCCCUAUCUGCCGUGGACGUUUGAGAUUUGAGAGGGGCUGCUCCUAGUACGAGAGGACCGGAGUGGACGAACCUCUGGUGUUCCGGUUGUCACGCCAGUGGCAUUGCCGGGUAGCUAUGUUCGGAAAAGAUAACCGCUGAAAGCAUCUAAGCGGGAAA
This 1361-nucleotide ribosomal RNA is filed under the name Epeolus variegatus. RNAcentral describes it as "bacterial LSU rRNA". It matches the Rfam family "Bacterial large subunit ribosomal RNA", at positions 1450 to 2792 of the family's 2925-position model. Lineage: Eukaryota; Metazoa; Arthropoda; Insecta; Hymenoptera; Apidae. The record is from RNAcentral.